AUACGGAGGGUGCGAGCGUUGUUCGGAAUUACUGGGCGUAAAGGGCGCGUAGGCGGCUUUACAAGUCAGGUGUGAAAGUCCACGGCUCAACCGUGGAAGUGCAUUUGAAACUGUAAGGCUUGAGUACUGGAGGGGAGUGUGGAAUUCCUGGUGUAGAGGUGAAAUUCGUAGAGAUCAGGAGGAAUACCGGUGGCGAAGGCGACACUCUGGACAGAUACUGACGCUGAGGCGCGAAAGCGUGGGGAGCAAACAGGAGUAGAAACCCCGGUAGUCC
Molecule: ribosomal RNA, 274 nt
Filed under: uncultured bacterium
Lineage: Bacteria
Description: partial 16S ribosomal RNA
Rfam family: Bacterial small subunit ribosomal RNA
Source: RNAcentral